GUCUCUUCGGGGAUGAUUAAACCGGCGCACGGGUGAGUAACACGUGAGUGACCUGCCUUUUAGACUGGAACAACUUACCGAAAGGUGAGCUAAUGCCGGAUGAGUUAUAUAAGUGCAUGUUUAUAUAGGAAAAGUUGGGGAGACCUGACGCUGAAAGAUGGACUCGCGUCCCAUUAGCUAGUUGGUAGGGUAAUGGCCUACCAAGGCGACGAUGGGUAGCCGGCCUGAGAGGGUGGCCGGCCACACUGGGACUGAGACACGGCCCAGACUCCUACGGGAGGCAGCAGUGGGGAAUUUUGCGCAAUGCUCGUAAGAGUGACGCAGCGACGCCGCGUGAAUGACGAAGGCCUUCGGGUCGUAAAGUUCUUUCGACAGGGAAGAAAAUGCCUAUAAGUAACUGUGUAUGUAUUGACGGUACCUGUAUAAGCAGCCCCGGCUAACUCCGUGCCAGCAGCCGCGGUAAUACGGAGGGGGCGAGCGUUGUUCGGAGUGACUGGGCGUAAAGAGCACGUAGGCGGUGUUGUAAGUCAUUAGUCAAAGACUAGAGCUCAACUUUAGUAAGGCUAGUGAUACUAUAAUACUAGAGUAUCAGAGAGGAUUGCAGAAUUCCUGGUGUAGCGGUGAAAUGCGUAGAUAUCAGGAGGAAUACCGUUAGCGAAGGCGGCAAUCUGGCUGGAAACUGACGCUGAGGUGCGAAAGCGUGGGUAGCAAACA
RNAcentral lists this ribosomal RNA (714 nucleotides) under uncultured bacterium. Its description in RNAcentral is "bacterial SSU rRNA". It matches the Rfam family "Bacterial small subunit ribosomal RNA", at positions 74 to 774 of the family's 1533-position model. The record is from RNAcentral.